GGGGCCUUGAGCAAUGAGCGGCUUGGGGACGGUUUCGAGGCGGGGUUCCGAGGAGCUGGGGGUGGGGACGGUUUGGAGCCGCCACUGCCAGAGGCGCGACUCUCGCACUGCCAUGUUUCAAAGUGACAACUUGCCAGUUUCACAAUGCAUCCCUUCCUAAAAACUGACUGCCAUCUCUAGGUUAGUUUUGGCUGACUCAUGGAGGAUAUGCAGUGAGGAUUUUUGUGUCUUCUGCUUCACCUUUUCAUGUCAGAGUAAAACUGCCUUUGCAAAGAUUAUGAUGACUUUUGCAUUCUGGCAACUGACUGACUUCACCCGGAUGAUCUCAGACUCAGGAAUCAACCAGUCCUGUGGACCCCCCACCUAGAGGCUGACUCAGCACAUGAGGACUGUUUUCCACACCCCCAUGAUUUCUUCCCCAACCAGUCAGCAGCACCCAUUCCCUAGCCCCCUCCCACCAAAUCAUCCAUAGUACUCUAGCCUCUCAGUUCUCAGGAAGACUGAUUUGAGUAAUAAACUCCAACCUUCUGGUUACCUA
Molecule: long non-coding RNA, 538 nt
Organism: Cebus imitator (Panamanian white-faced capuchin)
Lineage: Eukaryota; Metazoa; Chordata; Mammalia; Primates; Cebidae
Exons: 4
Source: RefSeq, a predicted model, not a curated record